Molecule: ribosomal RNA, 253 nt
Filed under: uncultured bacterium
Lineage: Bacteria
Description: partial 16S ribosomal RNA
Rfam family: Bacterial small subunit ribosomal RNA
Source: RNAcentral
UACGUAGGGUGCGAGCGUUAAUCGGAAUUACUGGGCGUAAAGCGUGCGCAGGCGGUUUUGUAAGCCAGAUGUGAAAUCCCCGGGCUUAACCUGGGAAUGGCAUUCGGGACUGCAAGGCUGGAGUGCGGCAGAAGAGACUGGAAUUCCUGGUGUAGCAGUGAAAUGCGUAGAUAUCAGGAGGAACACCGAUGGCGAAGGCAGGUCUCUGGGCUGACACUGACGCUCAUGCACGAAAGCGUGGGGAGCAAACAGG